Molecule: ribosomal RNA, 1287 nt
Filed under: metagenome
Description: bacterial SSU rRNA
Rfam family: Bacterial small subunit ribosomal RNA
Source: RNAcentral
UAGCUAGUUGGUGAGGUAAAGGCUUACCAAGGCGACGAUCUGUAGCGGGUCUGAAAGGAUGAUCCGCCACACUGGAACUGAGACACGGUCCAGACUCCUACGGGAGGCAGCAGUGGGGAAUUUUGGACAAUGGGGGCAACCCUGAUCCAGCCAUGCCGCGUGAGUGAAGAAGGCCUUCGGGUUGUAAAGCUCUUUCGGCCGGGAAGAAAUCGCAUGGGCCAAUACCCUGUGUGGAUGACGGUACCGGAAUAAGAAGCACCGGCUAACUACGUGCCAGCAGCCGCGGUAAUACGUAGGGUGCGAGCGUUAAUCGGAAUUACUGGGCGUAAAGCGUGCGCAGGCGGUUUUGUAAGACAGGCGUGAAAUCCCCGGGCUUAACCUGGGAACUGCGUUUGUGACUGCAAGGCUAGAGUACGGCAGAGGGGGGUGGAAUUCCACGUGUAGCAGUGAAAUGCGUAGAGAUGUGGAGGAACACCAAUGGCGAAGGCAGCCCCCUGGGUCGAUACUGACGCUCAUGCACGAAAGCGUGGGUAGCAAACAGGAUUAGAUACCCUGGUAGUCCACGCCCUAAACUAUGUCAACUAGGUGUUGGGUGGGUAAAACCAUUUAGUACCGUAGCUGACGCGUGAAGUUGACCGCCUGGGGAGUACGGCCGCAAGGUUAAAACUCAAAGGAAUUGACGGGGACCCGCACAAGCGGUGGAUGAUGUGGAUUAAUUCGAUGCAACGCGAAAAACCUUACCUACCCUUGACAUGCCAGGAACUUGCCAGAGAUGGCUUGGUGCCCGAAAGGGAGCCUGGACACAGGUGCUGCAUGGCUGUCGUCAGCUCGUGUCGUGAGAUGUUGGGUUAAGUCCCGCAACGAGCGCAACCCUUGUCGUUAAUUGCCAUCAUUUGGUUGGGCACUUUAACGAGACUGCCGGUGACAAACCGGAGGAAGGUGGGGAUGACGUCAAGUCCUCAUGGCCCUUAUGGGUAGGGCUUCACACGUCAUACAAUGGUUGGUACAAAGGGUUGCCAAGCCGCGAGGCGGAGCCAAUCCCAGAAAGCCGAUCGUAGUCCGGAUUGCAGGCUGCAACUCGCCUGCAUGAAGUCGGAAUCGCUAGUAAUCGUGGAUCAGCAUGUCACGGUGAAUACGUUCCCGGGUCUUGUACACACCGCCCGUCACACCAUGGGAGCGGGUUCCGCCAGAAGUAGGUAGCCUAACCGCAAGGGGGGCGCUUACCACGGCGGGGUUCGUGACUGGGGUGAAGUCGGAACAAGGUAGCCGUAGGGGAACCUGCGGCUG